UACGUAGGGUGCGAGCGUUGUCCGGAAUUACUGGGCGUAAAGAGCUCGUAGGUGGUCUGUCGCGUUGUUCGUGAAAACUCACAGCUCAACUGUGGGUGUGCGGGCGAUACGGGCAGACUGGAGUACUGCAGGGGAGACUGGAAUUCCUGGUGUAGCGGUGGAAUGCGCAGAUAUCAGGAGGAACACCGGUGGCGAAGGCGGGUCUCUGGGCAGUAACUGACGCUGAGGAGCGAAAGCGUGGGGAGCGAACAGG
Molecule: ribosomal RNA, 253 nt
Filed under: uncultured bacterium
Lineage: Bacteria
Description: partial 16S ribosomal RNA
Rfam family: Bacterial small subunit ribosomal RNA
Source: RNAcentral